ACUUUUGUAGCAAAAAAAAACUUUAAAAGAAGAAAUAGACUGGCAUAAAGUGCUUCUAGGGACCUUAUAAUUUUUCAUAAAUACAGUUACAAAGAUCAUGAAGUCACAAGCAAAUAUUACAAAACAUAUAAGGAAAAAAAUUAUGAGGAAGAGUCAGUGAACACACUCUUUAUAUGUAGAAUAAAACCCACAGAAAUUGCAGAUAUUAAAACAAUUUUCUAAAGAACCAAAAUAAACGUGUUCAAUAUUUUUAAGUGUAUAUUUUUAAAUAAUAAAAGAAUGUGUUGAGAAGAAAAGCUUUAAAAAUUAAAUUUUAAACAACCUUUUCCAACACAUUUGACAAAUGGAAAACUAACAAAUUCGUAGAAAAAUACCAACUGUCAAAACCAACUCAAGAACAAAUUUCAAAUGUCUGAAUAGUCAUCAGCCCACUAAAGAUAUUUACUUAGUCCCACAAAGAAAACAUCAGCUUCAGGUGGAUCUUAUAGAUAAAUUCUACCAAACACUGAAAUGUUGUAGAAGUAAAAUUUAAUGAUAAUAGCCAAUUCGAAAUAGCCUGAAGAAAACCAUUGCUUGAGAAAGUAGAUUUUUAUAAAUUACCCCAAAUGCAGUUAAUGGAGACAAAGAUAUAGAAAAUAUAAAACAGGGGUUAAGAAACAUAGAGUGAGAGUGUCUAAUAUGCAUUUCAUUAGGGUCCCAGAAAGAGAAUAAAUAAAUGUGAGAGAACGAAAUUCAAAGAGAGAAUGACUGUCAACUUUCUAAAAUUAAUAAGAGACAAAUCUUCAUAUUCAUAAAUUCCCAAGAGUUCCAGGCAGUACAGUCAAGAGAUGUUCAUAAUAAGGACACCACAGUAAAAUGAAAGUGCACCAAAGAUGCAGAGGAGAUCUUAUGUGGCUGGGGAGAAAACAUGUCUGUAAAACAAUAGUAAUUAGACGGACAGCUGACUUCUCAAAAGCAACAGUGGAAGUCAGACAGCAAUAAAUACAUCUUCAAAAUUCUGAAUUGAAAUAACGAUAAACUCAGAAUUUUAAUAAAAUAUAUUAGUAAUAAAGAGCUUAAGCAGGUAAAACAUAAGGAAGGAUAAAGAAAUUGAGAAGUUUGAUCUAAUGAAUGUAAUAAAGAAUGCGGCAUUCAAAAACUGGAAAAUGUUUAUUCAUUCUAAAUAUACAUGGAAUAUAUAUAUGAAUAUUGGUCACAUGCUGGGUAAAAAAAAAAAAGAGAGACAAAUUUCAGAGGAUCAGUUUGACCACAUUCUCUAAUCUAAAUUCUAAGAAAUUAGAAAUCGAGGACAAAUGAGAACACUCCUAAAUAAUGUGUGACUCCAAAAUAAAUUAUAGUAGAAAAAUUUAGUGCAUAAUGAUAAUAAAAAUUAAGGUAUUAUUAUGUGACUUAAACAUGUAGAAUGCAUUAAGACAUUAAGUGUAGGAGCAUUCUUAAGUUUUUGAACUUAUUAAAGAAGAUGAGCUAAAAGGAAAUUAGCUAAGCAUCCAACUUAAGAAGUUAGAAAAAGACCAAAAAAAUGAAACAAAGCAGAAAGAAAUAAUAGAAAGAGGUGAUAUAAAAGAAAGAUAUCUAUAUGUAUGUAUAUAUAACAGAGAGGAUUAAACUAGACAAAAGAAGAUUUUUUGAACAAAGUGACUCAUCCUUGACAAAAUUAUCAGUUAAAAAAUUGAAGGCACAAAUACAUAAGAAUGGAUGAAAAAAGGAGCAUGUUAGAGAUGAAAAAGAUUUUUUUUAAGUUAGAUUAAAUUACAAACAACGUUAUGCCAAUACGGUCAAAACGAGGAAAAAGUAAAUAAAUUCCUAGAAAAAUAUAGAUCACUGAAGCUGACUCAGGAAAAAAAAACUAAGUCAUCAUGUAACUGUUAAAGAUAUUAAAUUAGUCAUAAAAAAAUUUCUGCAAAAAGAAUUAACCAUUUCAUGUGGGUUUUGUAAUUCUACCAAAUGUUUAAUAAAUCAAGAAUUCCACCCUUACACAAACUGUUUCAGAGGACAGAAAAGAAGAAAUUCUCCCCAAAUCAAUUUAUGAUAAUAAUAUAUUCUUGAUACAAAGCUAGACUAAUAAGAAAAAACAUUGAUAUUGGUGAUAACAAAUUAAAAUGGAAACAGUGUAGCAAAAAGCUAUGGGAUACAGCAAAAGC
This 2141-nucleotide long non-coding RNA is filed under the name Homo sapiens (human). RNAcentral's name for it is "non-protein coding lnc-COL4A2-6:1". The record is from RNAcentral. Lineage: Eukaryota; Metazoa; Chordata; Mammalia; Primates; Hominidae.